Molecule: small nuclear RNA, 22 nt
Filed under: Arabidopsis thaliana (thale cress)
Lineage: Eukaryota; Viridiplantae; Streptophyta; Magnoliopsida; Brassicales; Brassicaceae
Description: snRNA_06744
Source: RNAcentral
CGAUCAGAACCUGUCGAGAACA